Molecule: ribosomal RNA, 1539 nt
Filed under: Klebsiella pneumoniae
Lineage: Bacteria; Pseudomonadati; Pseudomonadota; Gammaproteobacteria; Enterobacterales; Enterobacteriaceae
Also listed under: 1 other name
Description: bacterial SSU rRNA
Rfam family: Bacterial small subunit ribosomal RNA
Source: RNAcentral
AAAUUGAAGAGUUUGAUCAUGGCUCAGAUUGAACGCUGGCGGCAGGCCUAACACAUGCAAGUCGAGCGGUAGCACAGAGAGCUUGCUCUCGGGUGACGAGCGGCGGACGGGUGAGUAAUGUCUGGGAAACUGCCUGAUGGAGGGGGAUAACUACUGGAAACGGUAGCUAAUACCGCAUAAUGUCGCAAGACCAAAGUGGGGGACCUUCGGGCCUCAUGCCAUCAGAUGUGCCCAGAUGGGAUUAGCUAGUAGGUGGGGUAACGGCUCACCUAGGCGACGAUCCCUAGCUGGUCUGAGAGGAUGACCAGCCACACUGGAACUGAGACACGGUCCAGACUCCUACGGGAGGCAGCAGUGGGGAAUAUUGCACAAUGGGCGCAAGCCUGAUGCAGCCAUGCCGCGUGUGUGAAGAAGGCCUUCGGGUUGUAAAGCACUUUCAGCGGGGAGGAAGGCGUUAAGGUUAAUAACCUUGGCGAUUGACGUUACCCGCAGAAGAAGCACCGGCUAACUCCGUGCCAGCAGCCGCGGUAAUACGGAGGGUGCAAGCGUUAAUCGGAAUUACUGGGCGUAAAGCGCACGCAGGCGGUCUGUCAAGUCGGAUGUGAAAUCCCCGGGCUCAACCUGGGAACUGCAUUCGAAACUGGCAGGCUAGAGUCUUGUAGAGGGGGGUAGAAUUCCAGGUGUAGCGGUGAAAUGCGUAGAGAUCUGGAGGAAUACCGGUGGCGAAGGCGGCCCCUGGACAAAGACUGACGCUCAGGUGCGAAAGCGUGGGGAGCAAACAGGAUUAGAUACCCUGGUAGUCCACGCCGUAAACGAUGUCGAUUUGGAGGUUGUGCCCUUGAGGCGUGGCUUCCGGAGCUAACGCGUUAAAUCGACCGCCUGGGGAGUACGGCCGCAAGGUUAAAACUCAAAUGAAUUGACGGGGGCCCGCACAAGCGGUGGAGCAUGUGGUUUAAUUCGAUGCAACGCGAAGAACCUUACCUGGUCUUGACAUCCACAGAACUUUCCAGAGAUGGAUUGGUGCCUUCGGGAACUGUGAGACAGGUGCUGCAUGGCUGUCGUCAGCUCGUGUUGUGAAAUGUUGGGUUAAGUCCCGCAACGAGCGCAACCCUUAUCCUUUGUUGCCAGCGGUUCGGCCGGGAACUCAAAGGAGACUGCCAGUGAUAAACUGGAGGAAGGUGGGGAUGACGUCAAGUCAUCAUGGCCCUUACGACCAGGGCUACACACGUGCUACAAUGGCAUAUACAAAGAGAAGCGACCUCGCGAGAGCAAGCGGACCUCAUAAAGUAUGUCGUAGUCCGGAUUGGAGUCUGCAACUCGACUCCAUGAAGUCGGAAUCGCUAGUAAUCGUAGAUCAGAAUGCUACGGUGAAUACGUUCCCGGGCCUUGUACACACCGCCCGUCACACCAUGGGAGUGGGUUGCAAAAGAAGUAGGUAGCUUAACCUUCGGGAGGGCGCUUACCACUUUGUGAUUCAUGACUGGGGUGAAGUCGUAACAAGGUAACCGUAGGGGAACCUGCGGUUGGAUCACCUCCUUA